CAGUCGCCGCGGGAAUACGUAGGUCCCGAGCGUUGUCCGGAUUUAUUGGGCGUAAAGCGAGCGUAGGCGGUUAGAUAAGUCUGAAGUUAAAGGCUGUGGCUUAACCAUAGUACGCUUUGGAAACUGUUUAACUUGAGUGCGAGAGGGGAGAGUGGAAUUCCAUGUGUAGCGGUGAAAUGCGUAGAUAUAUGGAGGAACACCGGUGGCGAAAGCGGCUCUCUGGCUUGUAACUGACGCUGAGGCUCGAAAGCGUGGGGAGCAAACAGGAUUAGAUACCCCUGUAGUCCCUGUCUCUUAUACA
Molecule: ribosomal RNA, 301 nt
Filed under: uncultured bacterium
Lineage: Bacteria
Description: partial 16S ribosomal RNA
Rfam family: Bacterial small subunit ribosomal RNA
Source: RNAcentral